UAGCCUACAGUGAACAAACAGCGCUUUCGUCACUACCUUGAAAGAGAAGCAACAGAAGAAGCAGCAGAAGAAGUAGGAGCAAGAGCAAGAAGAAGUUGUACGUUUCUAACUACUAGGUAGUAGUAGAAGCUCUCCUUUAUUAGUAGUGGAAUUCUGGACAAAUGGAGGACCGCAGCUAUUAUUUAGCAAAUGAGCCGAAGGCGGGUGAAUCUGCUUCGAAGAAGCGAAAGCAUGAUGAAGCCAGAUUUAUAACGGGAGCGACGCAGGCAGAAAUCACGGUUAAACAUCGGUGUGGCUUUUCCCAGAUGGAAGAAGGGUCUAAUGAGGGAAAAAUGUUUUCAAAGCGACACCGAAGUUGCCUGUUUUCUGAUGGACAGCUACGAGACAGGUCCUGCAACAUCGACUCCCUUGAAGAGAAAACCUUUGCAAGUCCCAGCUUCAGCAUCGUCUAGCAUUGGUGCUUCUAGUGUAACAGACCGAGAUGCACAUCUUGAUGUCAUUCCAGAAGCCACAGAAAUUCAGGG
Molecule: long non-coding RNA, 524 nt
Organism: Micropterus salmoides (largemouth bass)
Lineage: Eukaryota; Metazoa; Chordata; Actinopteri; Centrarchiformes; Centrarchidae
Exons: 3
Source: RefSeq, a predicted model, not a curated record